AAGUAAUACUAGCACAAAGAUUAUGUACAUUUUUUUUCAAUUUAACCUUUAAGGGAUUGUCUCCCUUAAUAAUUGUCCACUUAUCUUUAGCUGGAUGGUCAGUGGAUUCGUCUGGGGAUGGCAGCUUUUUA
Long non-coding RNA from Octodon degus (degu), 131 nucleotides. RefSeq lists it as uncharacterized. Lineage: Eukaryota; Metazoa; Chordata; Mammalia; Rodentia; Octodontidae. The record is from RefSeq and is a predicted model, not a curated record. The transcript has 3 exons.